RNAcentral lists this unclassified non-coding RNA (200 nucleotides) under Herpotrichiellaceae sp. Its description in RNAcentral is "partial internal transcribed spacer 2". Lineage: Eukaryota; Fungi; Ascomycota; Eurotiomycetes; Chaetothyriales; Herpotrichiellaceae. The record is from RNAcentral.
UUAAGUUCAGCGGGUAUUCCUACCUGAUCCGAGGUCAACCUUGUAAAGUAAAAGGGGUAGACCGGCCCGGAGGGACCUUGAAACUCGACGCGUGCUAAUGAAAGCUCGUUGCACCGAGGGUCCCACGGACGCCGUCAUUGUCUUUGAGACCAGUUGGCCGAGGGCGGCCAACUUGGGUCCAACACCAAACCCGAGGUUUG